This 253-nucleotide ribosomal RNA is filed under the name uncultured bacterium. RNAcentral describes it as "partial 16S ribosomal RNA". It matches the Rfam family "Bacterial small subunit ribosomal RNA", at positions 524 to 776 of the family's 1533-position model. The record is from RNAcentral.
GACAGAGGGUGCAAACGUUGCUCGGAAUCACUGGGCGUAAAGGGCGUGUAGGCGGAUAGAUAAGUCGGGCGUGAAAUCCCCAGGCUCAACCUGGGAACUGCACUCGAAACUGUUUAUCUUGAGUGCCGGAGAGGAAAGCGGAAUUCCUGGUGUAGAGGUGAAAUUCGUAGAUAUCAGGAGGAACACCAGUGGCGAAGGCGGCUCACUGGCCCGGUACUGACGCUGAGGUGCGAAAGCGUGGGGAGCAAACAGG